AUGCUGUGGGGUUCUUCAGAGGAAGGAAUUGCAAAACCAUCUCGGAGUGUUGUUUGUCCAAGAAAACUAUGGAAUUCACUGGGUCUUCAUAAAUUAACAGGUGACUUAAAGACACACACACACACAAUAAGUUGCUGUGAGUUUUCUGGGCUAUGUGGCCAUGUUCCAGAAGCAUUAUCCUCUGACAUUUUGCCCACAUCUAUGGCAGACAUCCUCAGAAGUUGUAAGGUCUGUUGGAAACUAGGCAAGUGGGGUAUAUAUAUCUGUGGAAUGUCCAGGGUGGGAGAAAGAACUCUUGUUUGUUUGAGGCAAGUGUGAAUGUUGCAAUUGAUCACCUUGAUUAGCAUUUGUCUCUUGCCAGGGGGGCAUCCUUUGUUAAGAGUCAUUAGCCGUCCUUGGGGCUCCUCUGCCCUCAGAGUGUUGCUUCCCAUCUACUGUUUUGAUUUUUGAGUUUUUUAAUACUGGUAGCCAGAUUUUGUUCAUUUUCAUGGUUUUCUCCUUUCUGUUGAAGUUGUCCACAUGUUUGUGGAUUUAAGUGGCUUCUCUGUGUAGUCUGACAUAGUUGUUGGAGUGGUCAAGCAUUUCUGUGUUCUCAAAUAAUAUACUGUGUCCAGGUUGGUUCAUCAAGUGCUCUGCUAUGGCUGAUAUCUCUGAUUGAAUUAGUCUGCAGUGCCUUUCAUGUUUUUUGACUCGUGUUUGUGCACUGUGUUUGGUGGUCUCUAUGUAUACUUGUCCACAGCUGCAUGGUAUCUGGUAGACUCCUGCAGAGGAGAGAGGAUCCCUCUUGUCUUUCACUGACUGUAGCAUUUGUUGGAUUUUCUUUGUGAGUCUGUAGAUAGUUUGUGGGUUGUGCUUCUUCAUCAGUUUGCCUAUGUGGUCAAUGGUUCCCUUGAUGUAUGGUAAGAACAUCUUUCCUCUGGGUGGAUCUUUGUCUUGGCUCUCAUGGCUUGUUCUUGGCCUUGCAGCCAAGAACGAGUUCUUUCUCCCACCCUGGACAAUAUUCCAGAGAUACUGUAUAUAAACCCCACUUUCUUAAGUUUCCAACAGACCUCACAACCUGUGAAGAUGCCUGCCAUAGAUGUGGCCGAAACGUCAGGAGAGAAUGCUUCUGGAACAUGGCCAUACAACCCGAAAAACUCGCAGCAACCCAAUGAUUCCGGUCAUGAAAACAGUAAAUAGUAUGAGGCCUUUCACAGUGGAAGGGCUUCCCUGCCUUGCGUCACCUUCGCGACGUCUGACGUCACUUCCCCCCGGGCCGGGCCCUGAUUGGUCGCGGGGAGCGGAAGCGAGGGCGGGCGCUCGGUCCCCGUUGCCGCAGUGACAGGACCAGA
RNAcentral lists this long non-coding RNA (1331 nucleotides) under Anolis carolinensis (green anole). RNAcentral describes it as "lncRNA (ENSACAG00000039107.1)". Lineage: Eukaryota; Metazoa; Chordata; Lepidosauria; Squamata; Anolidae. The record is from RNAcentral.